AUGCUGAAAUAUGAAGUAGAUAUGGAAGACAAAGAAAUGCAACAAGCAGAAUGUUGCGUACUAGAAGAGUUUCCGCCAACUACCGGGCCAAAAGAACAUAUUAUGCAUGCGGCAACCACACAAGAGCAUGAAGUUAUUGAUAUAUCCAGUAAACGCAAAGAUAUUAUGGAUGUCAGCAGCCACGCCGUCGCCCAACAAUCUUUCACAGUCCAUGAACAAAAUGAUCCGCCAAUAGAACCAGAUCAACCACCACCAGACGACAAGAUACCACACCAUGCCGAAGAGGAAAUAGACGAGCAAAAUAUCAAGAGCAAUAUCACGACCACAGAGCAACUGGAACAAACAGGCACUGAUUUAAAAGAGGAUGACAGAAGCAACGACGUACCAAAUACACAACAACAGGAAGAAGUUGACGAAUUUCUUUCAAGCCUUAACCCACUACAACUAGAGGUGUACAACGACCAUAUAAAGAUGGGCUCUAACUUCGAUUUAAUCAAAACAUGGCUCAACAAGCAUGAAAGCUAUGAAUUCAACAAAAAUCCCAAGCCGUAUCUGACAAUCUUGCAGCAAGAGUCAGGAGAACAUUCAAUGCCUCAAUCAUCUGAGAACAGUUCAGACAAGAAAAUCUCGGUCAAGAAAAGGUCGGUAAAGCCUUCAAGAAGGCUCCUUGGAGAAAUCAAGAUUCCUACAUUUGUCCCAGGAGAUUUCAAAUUCAUGAACAAAGCCAGAGCACUCCAUGAAUACCUAUUCAGCAAAGAAGGACAGGACGAAUGCGGAGAUCUAAACAUAUAUAUUAGCCCGAAGCGAUAUGAUUGGAUUACAGGAAAACAAAUAAUGGCACAGCUAAUGAAAGGAGAUGAUGGACAGAUGGAGGGCUCCAUCGCGAACGCAUUGUUCGACGAAUGGACAUCGCAGCAACAAUACAACACAACCGAUAAAGCCAUACUUCCCGUAGAAUUUGCAAACGUCGUGCUCGGUGUUAAAACUGGAGAGGAAAGUGGACUAGCAGAAUUCAAUGAGGAAGAAGCAUUGAAAGAGUUUGCACCCCUUGUAACAAGCAAGGAACUUUUAAAGAAAAAGCUGAUUAUGAUACCUCACAACAAAGAUAAACACUACACAUUGUACGUGCUCAACAAGUACACGAACUCCAUCGACAUACUUGACUCACUGAAUUACAGACAUGGAGAUGGAAAAAAACAUGAUGCACGCACUAGUGAAGAAGCAUUACGGCGAAGCGGAGCUACAAGCCAACAGCGAACCAAACUGGUCGAGGAUAGCACAAACACCUAA
Molecule: ribosomal RNA, 1290 nt
Filed under: Triticum aestivum (bread wheat)
Lineage: Eukaryota; Viridiplantae; Streptophyta; Magnoliopsida; Poales; Poaceae
Description: partial small subunit ribosomal RNA
Source: RNAcentral